GAUAAACGCUGGCGGCGCACAUAAGACAUGCAAGUUGAACGGACUUAAUCGAAAUAUUUCUAUUUUGAAGCGGUUAGUGGCGGACUGGUGAGUAACGCGUAAGGAACCUGCCUAUUAGAGGGGAAUAACAGUGAGAAAUCAUUGCUAAUACCGCAUAUGCCAUAGAUAUCACAUGAUAACAGUGGGAAAGGAGCAAUCCGCUAAUAGAUGGCCUUGCGUCUGAUUAGAUAGUUGGUGGGGUAACGGCCUACCAAGUCGACGAUCAGUAGCCGGACUGAGAGGUUGAACGGCCACAUUGGGACUGAGAUACGGCCCAGACUCCUACGGGAGGCAGCAGUCGGGAAUAUUGCGCAAUGGAGGAAACUCUGACGCAGUGACGACGCGUAUAGGAAGAAGGUUUUCGGAUUGUAAACUAUUGUCGUUAGGGAAGAGAAAGGACAGUACCUAAGGAGGAAGCUCCGGCUAACUACGUG
Molecule: ribosomal RNA, 473 nt
Filed under: uncultured bacterium
Lineage: Bacteria
Description: partial 16S ribosomal RNA
Rfam family: Bacterial small subunit ribosomal RNA
Source: RNAcentral